GGCAACGACCCGAAGGGCGAAGCGCGCAGCGUUGAGUAAUCCUUCCCCCACCACCA
RNAcentral lists this small RNA (56 nucleotides) under Escherichia coli. RNAcentral describes it as "partial RtT sRNA". It matches the Rfam family "RtT RNA", at positions 75 to 130 of the family's 130-position model. From Rfam's summary of the family: This family represents a bacterial cis-regulatory element known as RtT RNA. The exact function of RtT is unknown although it is thought that it may be involved in changing the cellular response in relation to amino acid starvation. Lineage: Bacteria; Pseudomonadati; Pseudomonadota; Gammaproteobacteria; Enterobacterales; Enterobacteriaceae. The record is from RNAcentral.